UACGUAUGGUGCAAGCGUUAUUCGGAUUUACUGGGUGUAAAGGGAGCGCAGGCGGUACGGCAAGUCUGAUGUGAAAGCCCGGGGCUCAACCCCGGUACUGCAUUGGAAACUGUCGGACUAGAGUGUCGGAGGGGUAAGUGGAAUUCCUAGUGUAGCGGUGAAAUGCGUAGAUAUUAGGAGGAACACCAGUGGCGAAGGCGGCUUACUGGACGAUUACUGACGCUGAGGCUCGAAAGCGUGGGGAGCAAACAGG
This 253-nucleotide ribosomal RNA is filed under the name Roseburia intestinalis L1-82. RNAcentral describes it as "partial 16S ribosomal RNA". It matches the Rfam family "Bacterial small subunit ribosomal RNA", at positions 524 to 776 of the family's 1533-position model. The record is from RNAcentral. Lineage: Bacteria; Bacillati; Bacillota; Clostridia; Lachnospirales; Lachnospiraceae.